GGACAGAUGCCCGAGUGGCUAAAGGGGACGGACUGUAAAUCCGUUGAUUAACAUCUUCGAAGGUUCGAAUCCUUCUCUGUCCACCA
RNAcentral lists this transfer RNA (86 nucleotides) under Pseudomonadota bacterium. RNAcentral describes it as "Proteobacteria bacterium tRNA-Tyr". It matches the Rfam family "tRNA". From Rfam's summary of the family: Transfer RNA (tRNA) molecules are approximately 80 nucleotides in length. Their secondary structure includes four short double-helical elements and three loops (D, anti-codon, and T loops). The record is from RNAcentral. Lineage: Bacteria; Pseudomonadati; Pseudomonadota.